Phrynosoma platyrhinos (Desert horned lizard) is the source of this 79-nucleotide non-coding RNA. NCBI's taxonomy places the organism in Eukaryota, Metazoa, Chordata, Lepidosauria, Squamata, Phrynosomatidae. The record is from the annotation of a GenBank genome assembly.
GCCAGUGUGGUAUAGUGGUUUGAGUGUUGGACUAUGACUCUGGAGUCAUGAGGCCAGGGUUCAAAUCCCUGCUCAACCA